GGGGAGGGCAGGGGCUGAGGUGGGGUGGGUGGAGAGCAAACCCUGGGAGAAUGGAGGACGGCUGCUGAGAGAACUGCUUCAGGGAACAGGGAUGAAGACAACACUCGUGGAAAGAAUGGAGAUAGGAGGAGAAAAGACCUGCUUCUCUGCUGGAGGACUUUCAGGGCUAAGCACUAAACAUCUGACCAAGGAGUUGCAAAUACAAAUCACAUGACCUGAGUGCUGGACCACUGAAACAGAUCACUGCCUCCCUCCACACCCCACUUCUGGUGUGGCAGAUCUGGAAUGGGCCUGGAACUUUGCAUAUCUAAUUCAUUCCCAGGUGGCUUAAAAGAUGCUCUCGAAAGGCGCUUACUCAGAGGACCGCUGACAUCCAAGCAAGCAGCAGUAACUACUUAGGGAAGCUCUGAGGACUGAGAAGGCACAACGUUUCAGGGGAUGGAGCCAGAGCCCCAGGCUACAACAGAGGAAAAAUGAAGAUGAAGUGGGUUCUAGAACUACUCAAACUGAACUGGUACUGAGGGGAGGAGGGGCAGGGUUGAACAGCCUUGGGAAGCCGGGAGUUGAAAAAAUGGCCAGAGGGUGAAUAAUACAUUAGGACAGAUAGGGGCUGGAGCAAAUCUCAUCUGACUCAAAGUAUAAAUGGAUGGAUUGGCAGGGAGAGAAAAGGGGACAGAAUCACAGUGAAACUCAGGGUGUUUGCGAAAGCAGAAGAAAGAAGUUCCAGAACAGAGAAGAGGAGACAAAAAAUAAACCCCAGCCUUUCCCGAAGCAGUGUUCUUAAUGAAGCUCAGGGUUCGGAUGUGAGGGAUUUGGAACUGGGCUGAGGAGUGGGUUUUUCAUUUUCUCCUUUAGAAUCUGCUAUUUAGGCUGAGCAUGGUGCUGCACACCUGUAAUCCCAGCACCCAAGAAACUGGCAGGAAGAUUACCUGGUCUAAAAUCUAAAUAAAUAAAAAAUCCUCCACUUGAGGCAUAAUUAUUCAGACUCCUUUCCCCUCCCUCACCACCCCCGUCCCUAAAUCUAAGCUCCAUCUUAGCUAUUCCCUCGCCUCGAUCCUGUGCUCUUCUCAACAUGCCAAGAGGUUGCCCCACGCUCAAGCUGACAC
Cricetulus griseus (Chinese hamster) is the source of this 1106-nucleotide non-coding RNA. The record is from RefSeq and is a predicted model, not a curated record. Lineage: Eukaryota; Metazoa; Chordata; Mammalia; Rodentia; Cricetidae.